CCUACGGGAGGCAGCAGUGGGGAAUUUUGGACAAUGGACGCAAGUCUGAUCCAGCCAUUCCGCGUGCAGGACGAAGGCCUUCGGGUUGUAAACUGCUUUUGUACAGAACGAAAAAGUUUCUAUUAAUACUAGGGGCUCAUGACGGUACUGUAAGAAUAAGCACCGGCUAACUACGUGCCAGCAGCCGCGGUAAUACGUAGGGUGCAAGCGUUAAUCGGAAUUACUGGGCGUAAAGCGUGCGCAGGCGGUUAUAUAAGACAGAUGUGAAAUCCCCGGGCUCAACCUGGGAACUGCAUUUGUGACUGUAUAGCUGGAGUGCGGCAGAGGGGGAUGGAAUUCCGCGUGUAGCAGUGAAAUGCGUAGAUAUGCGGAGGAACACCGAUGGCGAAGGCAAUCCCCUGGGCCUGCACUGACGCUCAUGCACGAAAGCGUGGGGAGCAAACAGGAUUAGAUACCCUGGUAGUCCACGCCCUAAACGAUGUCAACUGGUUNUUGGGUCUUCACUGACUCAGUACGAAGCUAACGCGUGAAGUUGACCGCCUGGGGAGUACGGCCGCAAGGUUGAAACGUCAAAGAUAGUGACGNGAGAGAGCGACGACGACGACGAGGAGGGAGGAGG
This 619-nucleotide ribosomal RNA is filed under the name uncultured bacterium. RNAcentral describes it as "bacterial SSU rRNA". It matches the Rfam family "Bacterial small subunit ribosomal RNA", at positions 338 to 950 of the family's 1533-position model. The record is from RNAcentral.